GCCGGAGUAGCUCAGUCGGUAGAGCAACUGAUUCGUAAUCAGUAGGUCGGGGGUUCGAUUCCUCUCUCCGGCA
Molecule: transfer RNA, 73 nt
Filed under: Thioalbus denitrificans
Lineage: Bacteria; Pseudomonadati; Pseudomonadota; Gammaproteobacteria; Chromatiales; Ectothiorhodospiraceae
Also listed under: 2 other names
Description: Ectothiorhodospiraceae bacterium Su4 tRNA
Rfam family: tRNA
About the family: Transfer RNA (tRNA) molecules are approximately 80 nucleotides in length. Their secondary structure includes four short double-helical elements and three loops (D, anti-codon, and T loops). Further hydrogen bonds mediate the characteristic L-shaped molecular structure. tRNAs have two regions of fundamental functional importance: the anti-codon, which is responsible for specific mRNA codon recognition, and the 3' end, to which the tRNAs corresponding amino acid is attached (by aminoacyl-tRNA synthetases). tRNAs cope with the degeneracy of the genetic code in two manners: having more than one tRNA (with a specific anti-codon) for a particular amino acid; and 'wobble' base-pairing, i.e. permitting non-standard base-pairing at the 3rd anti-codon position.
Source: Rfam by way of RNAcentral